RNAcentral lists this transfer RNA (84 nucleotides) under Klebsiella phage Muenster. RNAcentral describes it as "tRNA-Asn". It matches the Rfam family "tRNA". Rfam says of the family: Transfer RNA (tRNA) molecules are approximately 80 nucleotides in length. Their secondary structure includes four short double-helical elements and three loops (D, anti-codon, and T loops). Lineage: Duplodnaviria; Heunggongvirae; Uroviricota; Caudoviricetes. The record is from RNAcentral.
UGGUAGUUGGCAGAGCGGCUUUUGCGACGGACUGUUAAUCCGUGUCAGAAAUGACAAGACUGGUUCGACUCCAGUACUACCAGC